Molecule: small nucleolar RNA, 82 nt
Organism: Octodon degus (degu)
Lineage: Eukaryota; Metazoa; Chordata; Mammalia; Rodentia; Octodontidae
Source: Ensembl
CUGAUACAGUGAUGAUAACAUAGUUCAGCAGACUCAUGCUGAUGAACAAGCACAAGUCUUUCGCUCCUAUCUGAUGUAUCUG